UUCACGGACAAAUCAUCACUUGUGCCACGAAUUAUGCCACGGGAAAUCAAAAUUCGUGGCAUAAUUGCAUAUAGCGACGGGAAAAAUAAAUAGUAAGACAAAAUCUAAAGAAGAAGAAAAAUUUAUGCCAUGGGUAAAUAAUUUUCCGUUGCAAAUAUCAAAGUUAUGCCACGGGUAGAUAUUUUCUUGUGGCAAACUUUAAACUUCAGCUAAUUAUAUUCAUUGAGCUAAUUAUAUUUUGGAAAUCUUAUUUUAUUUGAGAUGUGGAAUUUGAAUUAUAUUAUCGUGUUUGUAAUAUUUUUUUUUUUUUCAAUAGUUGUAAUAUAUUUAUUUAUUUAAUUAGAUGAGAUUAUUUCUAUUAUUAUUAUUUUAUAUUUUGGGUUUGUGCAGUUAGUUGAGCGGUAUUUAGCCCAAAUAGGAAGCGAAAGUAGUUCCCUCAAUUUGGUUUGGCGGUUGAAGGACGUUUGCCUUUGUUGCUUUUGUCGGUUGAGUUAAACCAAACCCAAACCCAAAGAAAUCCAAUCUCAUUUUCAUUUCCCCUUCCCCGUGAAAACCCAUUUCAUUCAAAACCCCAAACCCAAUUCUCUCUCUUUCUCUCGCGGUCCUGCCCGAUACCCCACCGACGAACGACCGCCGGACUUGCGCUGCUGCUGUUCGUCGGUGUUCGCCUAUUGUCGGUCUUCCCUCGGCCGGAGUUUCCCCCUUGUCGGCGCCGUCUGUUCUCGUUUUCUCUCUCUACUCUGUUUCGUCGCUGGUGGUGGUGUUCAUGUUCGCCGCUGCGUGUGUCGCACCACUAGUACGCCGCCUCACCGGACCCGCGCUGUUAAUUUGUCACCUCGCCCUUGCCGUACGUGUCUUCCCUGCUCUUGAAGCAGAGAUUGGAGAAAGAGGGUACAUAUUAUCAAGCACAAGACGCAUUCUUAGUUACAAUUAAAGUACUAUGUAGUUUAUAAUUUUUCUAUGUAAAAAGAUCGGAGAAUAUUGCGUUUUUAUUUAGUUGCCAAUGGAACUUUUUUAUUUCAAGUACAUUUAAUGUAAAGAUAUUAAAAAUUUUAAAUUAAUAAUAAUAUUUCGUUCUUCCAUAUUAAAAA
This is a long non-coding RNA of Beta vulgaris subsp. vulgaris (sugar beet), 1091 nucleotides long. RefSeq lists it as uncharacterized. The transcript is spliced from 2 exons. The record is from RefSeq and is a predicted model, not a curated record. NCBI's taxonomy places the organism in Eukaryota, Viridiplantae, Streptophyta, Magnoliopsida, Caryophyllales, Amaranthaceae.